Molecule: ribosomal RNA, 465 nt
Filed under: Vreelandella stevensii
Lineage: Bacteria; Pseudomonadati; Pseudomonadota; Gammaproteobacteria; Oceanospirillales; Halomonadaceae
Description: partial 16S ribosomal RNA
Rfam family: Bacterial small subunit ribosomal RNA
Source: RNAcentral
CCUACGGGGGGCAGCAGUGGGGAAUAUUGGACAAUGGGGGGAACCCUGAUCCAGCCAUGCCGCGUGUGUGAAGAAGGCCCUCGGGUUGUAAAGCACUUUCAGUGAGGAAGAACGCCUGGUGGUUAAUACCCAUCAGGAAAGACAUCACUCACAGAAGAAGCACCGGCUAACUCCGUGCCAGCAGCCGCGGUAAUACGGAGGGUGCGGGCGUUAAUCGGAAUUACUGGGCGUAAAGCGCGCGUAGGUGGCUUGAUAAGCCGGUUGUGAAAGCCCCGGGCUCAACCUGGGAACGGCAUCCGGAACUGUCAAGCUAGAGUGCAGGAGAGGAAGGUAGAAUUCCCGGUGUAGCGGUGAAAUGCGUAGAGAUCGGGAGGAAUACCAGUGGCGAAGGCGGCCUUCUGGACUGACACUGACACUGAGGUGCGAAAGUGUGGGUAGCAAACAGGAUUAGAUACCCUGGUAGUC